Molecule: ribosomal RNA, 404 nt
Filed under: Actinomycetes bacterium
Lineage: Bacteria; Bacillati; Actinomycetota; Actinomycetes
Description: Actinobacteria bacterium partial 16S ribosomal RNA
Rfam family: Bacterial small subunit ribosomal RNA
Source: RNAcentral
UGGGGAAUAUUGGACAAUGGGCGCAAGCCUGAUCCAGCCAUGCCGCGUGAGUGAUGAAGGCCCUAGGGUUGUAAAGCUCUUUCACCGGUGAAGAUAAUGACGGUAACCGGAGAAGAAGCCCCGGCUAACUUCGUGCCAGCAGCCGCGGUAAUACGAAGGGGGCUAGCGUUGUUCGGAUUUACUGGGCGUAAAGCGCACGUAGGCGGACUUUUAAGUCAGGGGUGAAAUCCCGGGGCUCAACCCCGGGACUGCCUUUGAUACUGGAAGUCUUGAGUAUGGUGGAGGUGAGUGGAAUUCCGAGUGUAGAGGUGAAAUUCGUAGAUAUUCGGAGGAACACCAGUGGCGAAGGCGGCUCACUGGACCAUUACUGACGCUGAGGUGCGAAAGCGUGGGGAGCAAACAGG